UGACUGUGAGUGCCACUCGUUGAGUGAGCUGACGAACCUGGGAGAGAGCUUUCUGUGUUUUGAGAGAGAGAGAGAGCGGAGCUGCUUCAGCCGUGUAAGCCUCUGUUGGACUCCGAUCCACGUUUCCAAACCUCUGGAGGACUGCACAGAACAUGCUGAAUUUGUUUGGCCCGACUUAUGAGUGAGCAGACAUUCAGCGUCAUGAACGCCAACAAAGCCCGUCACAGAUCAAGUUAACGGAUCAGCACCUCAGAUGUAUCCUGAGAAUUCCCACAACCAAAAUAACUCCAGACUUAGAGGCACUGGCAAAAAUGGGAGAUCAACAACACUGUUCACACUGAAACUGAAAGUGAUGAUGUGUUGCUGCAGCAAGGUUGGAGGCAAAUCUCCGACACACAGUCUGCGUGGCUGCUCUAACCUGUUAAUGUAGAUAAUAAAGAAAUUCAAGUGAGGUAAUUGGUUUGGGCGCAGCCCUCAGAUUUUUUCAUGAUGUUUGAUCAGUCAUGUUACGACAUGUUUUUGUAUUGUUCAUGUUUACCCCUGGUCUAUGGCCACCACAUGCAAAACCAUUCCUUUUUUCAGGGUUGUCUUGCUUUUGACUCACCAUUGCAACCGUUGUCAAUUUCCUUAGCACCACAUAUAUUAACCCUUCUGAAAUAGGGAAAAAUUAAGAAAAUUAAACACCCGAUUAAUGUUCCAACUACAUUGGGGGAUAACCCUGACCAGGCAAUGUUGGCGCCCUAGGCGGGAUUUCAGAAUGGCGCCCCCCAACAUACACACGUAAAUUGUCAUGCAUCCCCAGGAGCUUUUGGACUGUAUACAGAUGCACACACAGGCAGACAAAAUA
This is a long non-coding RNA of Pleuronectes platessa (European plaice), 847 nucleotides long. RefSeq lists it as uncharacterized. The transcript is spliced from 3 exons. Lineage: Eukaryota; Metazoa; Chordata; Actinopteri; Pleuronectiformes; Pleuronectidae. The record is from RefSeq and is a predicted model, not a curated record.